CCUAUGGGCGGCUGCAGUGAGGAAUAUUGGUCAAUGGACGAGAGUCUGAACCAGCCAAGUAGCGUGAAGGAUGACGGCCCUCUGGGUUGUAAACUUCUUUUAUAUGGGGAUAAAAUGUUCCACGUGUGGGAUUUUGUAUGUACGAUAUGAAUAAGGAUAGGAUAACUCCGUGCCAGCAGCCUCGGUAAUACGGAGGGUCCGAGCGUUAUCCGGAUUUGUUGGGUUUGAAGGGAACGUAGGUGGUUUGUUAAGUCAGUUGUGAAAGUUAGCGGCUCAACCGUAAAAUUGCAUUUGAAACUGGCAGUCUUGAGUACAGUAGAGGUGGGUGGAAUUCGUGGUGUAGCGGUGAAAUGCUUAGAUAUCUCGAAGAACUCCGAUUGCGAAGGCAGUUCACUGGACUGCAACUGACACUGAGGCUCGAACGUGUGGGUAUCAAACAGGAUUAGAUACCCGAGUAGUC
RNAcentral lists this ribosomal RNA (460 nucleotides) under uncultured bacterium. RNAcentral describes it as "partial 16S ribosomal RNA". It matches the Rfam family "Bacterial small subunit ribosomal RNA", at positions 338 to 795 of the family's 1533-position model. The record is from RNAcentral.